GGGGAAUAUUGCACAAUGGGCGCAAGCCUGAUGCAGCGACGCCGCGUGAGCGAAGAAGGUUUUCGGAUCGUAAAGCUCUGUCCUCUGGGAAGAAAAAAUGACGGUAUCCGGAGAAGAAGCCCCGGCUAACUUCGUGCCAGCAGCCGCGGUAAUACGAAGGGGGCUAGCGUUGUUCGGAAUUACUGGGCGUAAAGCGCACGUAGGCGGAUAUUUAAGUCAGGGGUGAAAUCCCAGAGCUCAACUCUGGAACUGCCUUUGAUACUGGGUAUCUUGAGUAUGGAAGAGGUAAGUGGAAUUCCGAGUGUAGAGGUGAAAUUCGUAGAUAUUCGGAGGAACACCAGUGGCGAAGGCGGCUUACUGGUCCAUUACUGACGCUGAGGUGCGAAAGCGUGGGGAGCAAACA
This 403-nucleotide ribosomal RNA is filed under the name uncultured Pseudomonadota bacterium. Its description in RNAcentral is "bacterial SSU rRNA". It matches the Rfam family "Bacterial small subunit ribosomal RNA", at positions 356 to 774 of the family's 1533-position model. The record is from RNAcentral. Lineage: Bacteria; Pseudomonadati; Pseudomonadota.